RNAcentral lists this ribosomal RNA (484 nucleotides) under uncultured bacterium. Its description in RNAcentral is "partial 16S ribosomal RNA". It matches the Rfam family "Bacterial small subunit ribosomal RNA", at positions 30 to 507 of the family's 1533-position model. The record is from RNAcentral.
AUUGAACGCUGGCGGCAGGCCUAACACAUGCAAGUCGAGCGGAUGAAGGGAGCUUGCUCCUGGAUUCAGCGGCGGACGGAUGAGUAAUGCCUAGGAAUCUGCCUGGUAGUGGGGGAUAACGUCCGGAAACGGGCGCUAAUACCGCAUACGUCCUGAGGGAGAAAGUGGGGGAUCUUCGGACCUCACGCUAUCAGAUGAGCCUAGGUCGGAUUAGCUAGUUGGUGGGGUAAAGGCCUACCAAGGCGACGAUCCGUAACUGGUCUGAGAGGAUGAUCAGUCACACUGGAACUGAGACACGGUCCAGACUCCUACGGGAGGCAGCAGUGGGGAAUAUUGGACAAUGGGCGAAAGCCUGAUCCAGCCAUGCCGCGUGUGUGAAGAAGGUCUUCGGAUUGUAAAGCACUUUAAGUUGGGAGGAAGGGCAGUAAGUUAAUACCUUGCUGUUUUGACGUUACCAACAGAAUAAGCACCGGCUAACUUCGUG